RNAcentral lists this ribosomal RNA (563 nucleotides) under uncultured Bacteroidota bacterium. RNAcentral's name for it is "bacterial SSU rRNA". It matches the Rfam family "Bacterial small subunit ribosomal RNA", at positions 867 to 1430 of the family's 1533-position model. Lineage: Bacteria; Pseudomonadati; Bacteroidota. The record is from RNAcentral.
AUCCACCUGGGGAGUACGAUCGCAAGGUUGAAACUCAAAGGAAUUGACGGGGGCCCGCACAAGCGGAGGAACAUGUGGUUUAAUUCGAUGAUACGCGAGGAACCUUACCUGGGCUUAAAUGUAGAUUGCAUAGGGUGGAAACAUCCUUUCCCUUCGGGGCUAUUUACAAGGUGCUGCAUGGUUGUCGUCAGCUCGUGCCGUGAGGUGUCGGGUUAAGUCCCAUAACGAGCGCAACCCUUAUCGUUAGUUGCCAGCGGGUAGAGCCGGGGACUCUAGCGAGACUGCCCCCGUAAGGUGAGAGGAAGGUGGGGAUGACGUCAAAUCAGCACGGCCCUUAUGUCCAGGGCUACACACGUGUUACAAUGGCAGGUACAAAGGGCAGCUACACAGUGAUGUGAUGCUAAUCUCAAAAGCCUGUCCCAGUUCGGAUUGGAGUCUGCAACCCGACUCCAUGAAGUUGGAUUCGCUAGUAAUCGGAUAUCAGCCAUGAUCCGGUGAAUACGUUCCCGGGCCUUGUACACACCGCCCGUCAAACCAUGGGAGCUGGGGGUGCCUGAAGUCUG